Molecule: long non-coding RNA, 13066 nt
Filed under: Setaria viridis
Lineage: Eukaryota; Viridiplantae; Streptophyta; Magnoliopsida; Poales; Poaceae
Description: long non-coding RNA (SVIR_LNC006137)
Source: RNAcentral
UUUUUUUUUUGUUUUUUAGCCUUUUUUCCGAAAGAUAUACGUCCCUGGUGGAACCAAUUCCAAAAAUGGACCCUUAGCUUGGCGCCAUCCACGCUAACGCCAAGCUUACACGUCUCAGCAUCAGCCACCCUAGCGCCAAGGUCCAUGCGCAGUUGCUGACGCGGAUGCCGACGUGGCGGGGGCUUGGCGCCGUGGAUCUUGGCGCCAAGAUCCACGGCGCCAAGGCUUGGCGCCAGGGUGGAUCGGCACCCACGUCAGCAGCUGCGCGUAGACCUGGGCGUCAAGAUGGCUGGUUGUAGCUUGGCGCCAGCAUGGAUGGCGCCAAGCUAAAGGUCCAUUUUUGGAAUUGAUUCCACUAGAAGCAUAUUUAUGAGAAUCUUUCGAAAAAGGGUUAAAAAACAAAAAAGUCGGCCGUGCAGCCUCCAUAAACGGAGGGACAGGCAGGAGGAGAUCUGCCGCUGCUCUACCUCGCAUUAGCGCUAAUAAUCUGCAGCCGCUCUACCUCGCUUUGGCGCUAAUCUGCAGCCAUGAAUGGGAAAGAAACAAUCUGCAAGAUAUCAGAAUCCGUCUGCAACAUAUCUUACGAGAUAUGACUUAUGAGCCUAAAAAUUAUCACAAGACCUGUUGAUUUCCACGAGCAGCCGCUGGUAAGCACCGCCGUCGCAUAGCAAUUCCUCGCCGAAGGUCGCGUAGGAUGAAGACGACCGGGAAAGGUUGAGACGACGGGAAAAAUCGGGGCCGCUAGUGGACGCAUAUUCACAUGCAUAUGAAGGUAGAAUAGUAUAAAAUAGAUAUUUUUCAUAUUCACAUAUGUGACUGUACACUAAAAGAACAAAAAUGUAUUGUAAAGCGAAACGUGUGGGAACCUUUGUGAAUUUGAUAAAAAGAAAAUUCAUACCAAGCAAUCAUAUAUGUGCUCCUCUUUCACAGCAGAAUAUCAAGUACUUUACAGAAAUGGUAAUAUGACAAUGAUGCAUUAAAAACAUUGUUCAACAGAAAUAUGUUAAUUGGCAAGUAACGGUUUCCUCCCAUUCGUUACAUAGGAGUACAUACUACCCGCUCCAUCGACACAGAGAACAAUGAUUUUCGUUGGUUUUGCCUAUGCACCGUUCGGGAGCCCUAGGCACGCAGGGAUCGCCAUGAAGGCAGGAACACCCUGGUGUGGCCACCCCAUCCGAGCACGCAGGAAAAACAAAAUAGAAAUGUAUAGUUUAUUUACUUCUCCAAACAACCCUCACAUGUUUCUGUCUUCUUUACCCCCUGAUGAUUUUCUUUAUUAUUUUCUUAUGUUCGAGUGCAGGAUGCAUUUUGAAUUGAAAAUCCGUGAGAUGACAGACGUCGUCAUAUCUAAUUAAAGAAAAAGUUUCCAAGAAUUGUUCGUGAUUAUUUUCAUGCAAGAAUCUAGUGUACCAACCUACAAAAUGAUUAAAACAUGCAUACAUUUAUUUGUUCAUUUACGAAUAUUAUUUCACAAAAUUUGAACUCCAAAAUAGAUAACCCACAUGAAAAUGAAGAAACACAAGUUUUGUUAGAGGAGUAUUGGUCACCUGCUUUAGUUUGAAUAGUAUGGUGGGUAAAAUGAGAUGGAAAAUAACUUUAGAAGUUAUAUCCGUACAAACGCAAUAAUGAAAUGUGAAUUGGACUUUUUUAUAAUAAUGAUAUAAGAGGGGAAAAUAAGUAUUUUUUUGGAACUUAAGAGGGGGAAAAUAAGGCACAUAUGUGCUUAAGUCGCAACUUCUUCUUUUGGAAAUAGACAAACACAUCAUGGAAAUAUGCGAGAAGCAGGAAUUGGCCCAACUGAAAUAUCCAACUCUUAUGAGCGAAUGAUUUCUUCUUCGACCCGUUCUUUGCAUUCAUCGCACGAGGUCCUCGCAUCAGGUUCUAUCAUGUCUCAUGUUAUUGUCUUUUUCUGUCACCUUUUCUUUUAAUUUUGUUUUUCUGGAUGCAUUGAGCCUAACAAAAAAUGAUAUUUAACUGGAAUCUUUUUGCUCCCACAGAAAUAUGUGAUUCAUCACAACUGAAUCAUAAUAUGCAGCAUGUGAAAGGAAUAUGCGCGCAUGCAAACAUUAUGCCAUGAAUUGCUAUUUCGUCGAUCGAUCAGUCAAAAAGAACAGCAUACAACUUGGCCAAUUUUUUUUUUAAAAAAAUCGAUUACUUAUAAGACAAAUUUAGUAAUUGUAUAUGGUCGACCGUGACAAAUGACAUGCCGUAAACCUUGAUCAGCUCAAAACUGUCUCGAUCGUACGUCAUCAAUGGAGAUUGGAAACAUCGGGGCGUUCUCAAAAUGUCAUGUUAACCAUUGACCAAAAUGGCUGUGCUUAGCCGUUCCAGGAAAAAUGACUUUAUUUAGUUUCAACAAAAGAUGACUUUACUUUACUAUGCUCCCGUCCGGCCGAAGGCCCGUAUGUUUGGAAUGGCCUGGUUGUCUUUUAAAAUCAGCACGACUUCUCGAGGCACCCUAAUCGAAGAAACACCGGCGGGAGAGCAAGCUCCAAGAGGGUUUUAGCGAGGAGCGAUUGUGGUGGAACCGUCCAACUUAAACUGGUUUAAGUGUGCCUAAUCGCUAUUGAAAUAGCAAUUAUACGAAACACACCUAAAACAGUGUAAGCCCGACAGUCCGUUGAGUGUCCCUAGGACGCCUCGAAACAUCCACGACAUGUUUCACAGACAUACAUCAAGAUCGCUUUCACGAAGGGAAAGCAUCAACAAACAUUACAUUUUUACAUACAUACAGAAGGCGCGAAUUGUUACAAAUCGUAGAUUGAAAUAAACUUAACGAUGCAAGUUAGACCAUUACUAGGAGUUUUGAACAUAAAAUCAGUCCAAGGCAAGUAAUUAUACAACUAAGUUUUAUUCCAGGGUAUUAUGAGACCCGUAAAUACCCUAGUUCUUCGAUAUUCUUCUUCGGUCAUCCCCUGUUGUACUUCUGAAAAUAACAACAAAGGGAUCCCCUGAGUACGAGGGUACUCAAUAAGACUGAUCCGACUAACCAAUAUAGAUAGAUUUAAAAUAUUGUAUGAUAGCUUUAUGGUGUACUAGCUGACUUACAUUUUGCGAAAAAGCUUACUAUUAGUGGGACCUUAGUUUUAUCAUUUUAUUUCAGAUUAGUUUUUACCUAACCAGAUGAAUAAAAUAUUUUUGAGCAACCAGGUGGAACUAAGUCAUACAGCAUUCUAAUUUCAGGAAAAAUAUUAUAUUCAACUUGAUUACUCUACAAUGCUUAAGCGAUAAUCAAGUGCAUUCAUAAUCAAGAAUUGCGGUAAUCCGGACCGAUUUACAUCUUGCAGGAGAUACCUCAUUACCCGCUAUGCACAACGGAUCAGGUUGUACAUAACAACCUUUCGACUAGCCGUACCCAAAGAUUGGAAAUAUGACUACACGAACCCAGGGAUGCAUCCCCACUUAGGACCCCACGUCUGGCCUGAUCUCCAUGUGACUUUCAGGCUACGCUCCUGUCUUUCCACUGCACGCCAAGCACGGGUAUAAAAUAUUUUCAAUCAGAGAGCCAACUAACCUAUCAGGUUUUGCUGGUCCCCACAGACAGUAAGCAACAAGGUAAAAUCAUUUGAUCAAAGGUUAAGACAACGAACGAGCAUUAACCAAAUUAACUUAGUGGACAGAACUACCAUCUCUAGCUUCUAUCCACCUUUCCAAAAUUCCAAGCUAUUUUCCUUGAUUAACAUAUAUACGUUAAAGGUUGAGUAACACAAGUUACUUUAACGGUACCUAAGCGUUACUAAGUAUAGGAUGUUUACUAAAUAAUUGAAUAGGUGGCAAAGAUAUCCUAUAAAUAAGGUAGGAUUAUGCACAAGAGUGGUUUGCAAUCAACUCCUAGACUUAAUGCAUAAGGAAAUAACCAAUAAUUGGACUCAUGAAUAAUAAUUUCUGAAAGUAGAUAGGCUUAGAUGCACCGAGACUUACCUUGAUUCACAAAAAAGUUAGUAUCCUCGGAACAUCCUUCCACACAAGGGAUCAAUUCAACAACCUCUUCGAAUUCCUGAGGUUCUUCAGAGAGAUCCAAGAAAUCCACUUCUGAGGCUUCUAUGUCUACGGUAUGAUGCAUGCCAUAUUUAGAGAUGAAAAACUUUUUGAAAUAAAAGAAUAUACAACUUAUCUCAUGAUAAAGUUGCAAGCCAACACUAAUCUACCCAUAAAGAUUAACCCACAAUUUUAAUUUCUUUAACUAACCUAACUUAAGCAUUUUCUUUAUUUAGAAAAGGAUUAUAAUUUAUUUCUAAUCUGAAAAACUUAAUUCCUAUGGAUUAGUAAUUAUUUAUGAAUAAUAAAACAUUAUUAACAAUUUUAUUCAUUUUAUAAAGAUUAAGUAUUUAUUUAAAUACCUUCAUCAAAGGUAUUAAUAAAUACUUAAAUUUUACUAUUUUAUCCUAGGGUUUUAGAAUUUCUAAUACAUAAAGGAAAAUAAAAUACACCUAAUAAAAUUGGUUUCACUAAAUUUGGACAAUUCUAUAAAUUAUAAUGAAUAAAAUAUGAAAGUAGGAAUUUAAAUCUAUUUUCUAAAUCUAAAAAUCAACAUUAUCCUGAAAACCCCCUCCCUGGACUUUUCUCACGUGCCCACGGCCUACCCCCACUCACUGACAUGCGGCCCCGGUCAACAGAGCCAACCCUCGGCCUUGACCGAGAGCUGGCCGGCGGGUAAGCGCGGCAGCUCGCCGGCGACGAGGUUCCCGGUGACGGGGACACCUCCACACGACUCGCGACACUACUCGGUAUCCCUUGAUGGUACUCUAGGGGUGGUUGGCUUCACAUCGACGAUGAACUUUGCAAGACGGACGGUGGCACGACGGCGCUUGGCGGACGGCAGCGCAAAGCUUGUCGGCGGUAGCGCUAAGGCAACAAGCGGCACUGGCAGCUCUACUACGACCUAAGCAACGUAGCGCACCCUUCCACCCAAGCUAACCGUGGCCGGAGCAAGCCCCUCCACGGCGGCGGCCAUGGCCGAAGCGCGGUGCAUGGCGGCAAUCCGGCCAACCUGGUCGAGCCCCAAGCCAACAAGCACGGCCUAAACCAUCCCUAGCUCAUGCGUGACCUACCUAGACCCUUGGACCAUGACCAGAACUCCGGCAUAAGGCAUCUCCAUGGCGGUGACCAUUACCAGAACAAGCGGCGGACGGACCCGAGGGAGAAGGUGGUGGUGAACUGAGGAUGUGGGGAUGGUGGCUGUCAGGACAGGCUUAGGGGCUCAGGGCAGUGUCUCUAGCGAGGUGGAGUCGCUGGCGGUGGCGAAACAACGGCGGAGCAGGACGCCGACCGAGAGCAGUUGGAAGAGUAGAGGAGCUCGGUGAAAGGAUAAACUCACCAACGGGAAGGUGAUUUAUACAAAAACUUACUGAAAGGAUCUAGGAUGUCGACUAGAGGGGGAGUGAAUAGUCGAAUCUGAAAAUUUUACACUUAAAACAAGCUUAUGAGACACUUCCAGAAAUUUUCGGAGAUUGUUCUGGAAAUUUUCGAAAUUUUCGGAAAUUUUCGGAGAAAUCUUCGGAUUUUUCUGGAUUUCUACAAAAAUAACUACAACCUUAAGAUUGACCUGUUAGAUUUUAGAUUGACGAAUAUAGGUUGUUCCACAGAUAUUCUAAGUUUUUUCAGCAAGAUAUAGCAGCUUCAAACACACUAGAAAAGGAGAUCGAGUACAAAUCCUAAAUAUGUUUUCUAUGCAAGAAUAUAUAUAAAAGCAAGAACAACAAGCAAGAGAGACACAAGGAUUUGUUACUAGAGUUCAGCUUCACACCAUGAAGCUUACGUCUCCGUUGAGGACCCACAAAGGGUGGGUUUAUAUCAUCCAGCCACUUUCCUCCCUCUAGCGACCACAAACAUCAAGUUAGAGUCACUUACUCAAUUAAAGGGAUAAUACAAACUUCCCGAGGCAGCCACAAAGCUUGGAUGCUCGUUCGAGCGACGCCUAGCCGGCUAGGAGCUUGAAGCUCCAAGAGUAACAAACACGAACUACCGGCUUGACGAAGAACGAAAGUGCUCAAGAGAUGGAGUUGCAGCUCACUAGCACAAUCUCUUGCUCACUCACCAUUUUCUCCUCAAAUCCCCACCAAAUCUCACAAGGAAGUCAAAGGGGAGCAAGGAGGGAACUUUAGAGUGUUUCUGUAGAUCAGAACAGUACAGAGGCAAGAGAGGACGAAAGGAAGAGGGUGAGGGGGUAUUUAUACCCCUUCACUCCAAAACUAGCCAUUAUAACAAAGAUUCAGAAAAUUUCCGGAAUUUUCUCCGGAGAUUUUGAGUAUCUCCGGAAUUUUCCGUAAAAACUUUCAGAAAAAUCCAGACCUCCGGAGACUCUUCCGAAACUUCUGGAAAAACUUCCAGAAAAAUCCGGACCUCCGGAAACUCUCCACUUCUAGAAUAUUCCAGGAAAACUUCCGGAAAAUUCCGAAUCUCUCUGGUUAGCACUUCUAAUUAUCCCCCAUGUAACUUGCAAGUGUAAAUAGUAUCUCUCAUAGGUUUUGUUAGGUCAUCUUGAGCACAUUUUUCAUCAUCAAGAUCAGAGAUCACGCAUCCCUCUUAAUAGUGAGGCAUUCAUAAACUCAAAUUCAAACCGAAAAUAAAUUUAAACUAGAUAAGAUGCUGCUCAACAUUUCAUUGCCUUUUGAGGGGUCCAUCACAAGUGCUCCACGACCAAUAAUCCAUUUAAAUCUGCUUAUGCACUUCAAACUUUGUUAGAUACUCAAGCUUUUAUCAUUAAAUCACCAAAACUCACUUAGGGGGUCAAAGAUACUCUUCACUUACCACCCUCUCGAGUACCACAUCCUGCCUGCCUGCUUGCUUUUGCGUCCCUUGCCGGUGCUGGCGCAUGGCACGGCGGCGCCGCUCUUGCCAUUAGUGGCAAACAGUUGUGUAGCACCGGCCGUCUCUGUUAUGCUCCUCCCUUUUCUUUUCUUUCCCCAAAUCACCCGAAAGUUCAGCUUAAAUUGUGACCGAUUUGUAAUUCAAACUCCAGGAAUUCCUUUAAGCAAAGUUGGAGAGGAUCCUUGGUUCUACAUUUGAUUUAUUUGCAUCGAGGACCAACAACCACUCUAUCACCGUGAAUUUCGGUCUCAAACUUGAGCUAGGGUUCGGUCAGUUCAGAACUGAAUCGCCCCCCACCAUUCAGUUUCGUCAGAAACUUCAAAAACAGCUCGAUGCUUCACUUUGAGUUCAAAUUCAACUGCUUGAAGUUGGUUCAUUUUACCCAACAUCUACUGGAUCUUGUUAACCAUAUGACAGGGGUUCCAUUUUGCAUAUGAAAUCCCAACUCUUACAUACAAUUUCUUCCAAAAACUCAAGAUAAAGUUUGCUAUUUUCCACUGUUCUUAGAACUAAACGGCGAUAGCCUUUCAAUUUCAUCAAUUAAACUGACAGUGAAUGAUUCCAACUUUGAGCUCCCAGAAAAAUUGGAAUCCUGCUCUUUCCUUGUCCAACAACAUGCUCAAAAUGUUUACUGGAUAUCAUAGUUCACUUGGAAUUCAAAGUCUUUCCAAGUAUAUAUGAAAAAACUUCUAGAAUUAAAAUUCAAAGUUGCCUCCUUGACACUGUUUGCAGACUUAACUCAGUUUUAACAGCUGAGCUGAAAACUAAACCACUUUCAAACUUUGAACCUCCUUUAAAAUAUGGAUUCUUUAUUUUCUCUAGCCAACAACAUGUCCAAUAUAUUCAUUAUAUAUCAGAGUCCACUUAUGUUCCACAACAUCUCCCAGCUUCAAUGAAAAAUCUCCUAGAAAUCACUUUCCAAAUUGUCAGCUUGUCACUGUUUUUAAACUAAAAAUUUUCAGAUAUGAAACAGUAACUUCCAAUCAACCACUUUGACUUUGAAUUUGAGAUGCUCGUGACUUGAAUUUGAUUCUUCUGAAUUCUAAAUAACUUCAAGACUUGAAUUCAUAUUUUUGUCAAAUUUCUUCAGAUCUGAAUCUUGAAUUUGCCUUUUUGGUCAAAUUUGACCCAAAGUUGACUUUGGUCCAUAAUACAUUCUUAUCAUCCAAUUUCUUCAUUAACACUUUAAUGGUCAUUCUUAAGCCUUUAGCAACCUGGUUGUUACACCACCCCCACCAGAUUAGUGAGAGUAGGUUUCCCUCAACAGUCCGACCCGCACAAGCGCAAUUUGCGUUAAUGUUUUACUCCUAAAUAUAUAUAUCGCUAUACUAUAUUAUUUUCAAUCAAACCUAUAAAUUAUUCAAAUUAAAAUAAAGUUUAAUUAAUUGUCCUUCAAUAAACUAACAACUCUAAACACAUAGAAGCAUGCACUCUUAAGUUCACUUGUGUCAUGAAACAUCUCAACAUAUGUCAUGGGCUCACUGGUCUAUUAGCUUCUAUGCUAUAUAUAAUCACUCACACCGUAGUUUUCCUCACAAAAUAUCAAAAUUUACCAAUGUCCUCCUAUAAUCAUUUUUAAAACAUACACACUACCAUUCUUAUAUAGGAAUAAAAAUAUCUUCUAUAUAUUAAAUAUUUUAUCUAUAUACAUCGUCAAAAGUAAGAACCUCUAUAAGAUUUUUAUAUUAUCUUAUAAAAAUCACAUAUCUAUUUGAUUCAAAUAAUAUUCUAGAAAAUUUCUUAGGAUGGUAAAAGUUUUUAUAGGUGCCCAUUAGCAUGCUAUGUUACCUUUGCACAAUCUUGAAACGGUAUAAUGCACAAGUAUAAGAACUUCUAUUCUAUUUGGUAUGCUUUCAUCAGUCAUGACAUUUACAUGUUGUUUUAUAUAGUAUAAGCCACUUAAAUUUCAAAAAUAUAUAUGAUUAAGCGAAGUAUAUUUCUGUAAGUGUUCCUAAAUGCCAGAAUGUAGAGAUCCAAAAUACAUGUAAAAGCAUGUCGAAUCCUAAUCCAAACAGAAUGAGUCGAAAAGAAAGAGGAGGAGUAGGCAAAUGCUGAACAGAAGCGAGAUUUAGUUUGAGCGUUCGGGGUGCUUGUUGUUCCUUCCAACUUGUGUCAGUGGCCGAACACCAAGCAACCACCGAAUGUAGUACUAUAUCAAUCAAGUUAGGUGCCGAUGAGGCUAUUUAUCUUAUUUCGGCUCAACUAUACACGAUCUAGCACAGUUACAAGUGUACCUUUAAUUUUUAAUGCAUGCUAACUAAAUUUUUUUUUCAAAAAUUGGGUGUACAUUUGUACACUCCUGCACCUAUAUUGUGUCCACCCCUAGGGAACCAGAGCUGGAACAGGUCCGGGCUCGGGUCCGGCAUCAUCUAGGUUAAGCUCUCGCAUUUUCUUCCUCGCUGCUAUGUUUAUCAUGUGUACGGGGAAAAAGGAAUUCACUUUUAGAAACAAAACCACAUUUGCUUGGCAUAAUUGAGGUGAAAAUAUCAUAUUUCUUAUCCUAUUUUGCUUCAUUAAUGAUGUAUUUGUGUUGUGUUUGGGAGAAAAGAUCAUCUUUUCUUAAGUUCUAGGUAGAAAAUCAUAUAUUUAGGGAGUAAUUGAGGCUAAUUUAUUGUGCUAAUCACUUGCUUACCUUGGCCGACCGAUUCAUUUGCAAGAUAUUCCUGUGUAUACUAUCUUGGAGGACGUCGAUGACAGAGAGUUCCAUAAGCUCCUGAUGCAGAGGUACGACAGAAUGUUUGAUGUGGCAUCAACUACAAUCCUCGGUGUGCUGGUGACACCUCCUAUGCUUCUCUCAGCCGCCGAAGUAAGGGAGGAGAUGUUCACAUUUCACAUGGUGAAGCUGAUUGGUCAGAUCCGCACUGUGUUGCUUCUUUUCAGAGAAAUGGAUCUUUAUUCUGUCUCUUUCAAUCCUAGCGGCGAUCCUAAUUCGACUUAGUUCAGAUUCUCGAAUGAGCUUAUUCCAUCAUUUCUUACUUAAGUUGUCUUGCCCUACAACUGCAGAUAUGGUGAUCUGUAAGUAUAUUCAGCUUCAUACAGGCAUGGAUUUUUUACUGACAACUACAAAUCCAUAUUUGGUAAAAUCUAUAUAUAAGAUAUACAAGUCCUGGUUUCAGUCAUAAUUGAUCCCUUGAUUGGAAUGGACAUUUGAUGUUGGAUUUGGUACAGAACUUAUGCAAAUAAUGAUAUUGAAUUUUAUAGAAUAGAUAUUUGAAACCAUGGUCAAGCGAAAAUUAGUUUUCAUAUGAUAGAAUGAUCGAAGAGAUCAUGGUGGGAUAGAAAUAAAAUUACCAAGAUAUUUGACUGAGUAAGAAAUUUUUGUUGAUCAUAUGACAAUUGCUGGUAUAGUGAUACGAGUACCACUGGAUAGGUUAAAAUGUUGUUGAUCGAGCAAGCUCUUGAUUUAAGGGGACAUAAUUACUGAGCUGAUCACAUUAAGUUAGGAUUCAGAGUACUUUUAGAGUACUCUGAAAUUACUGUUUCAGUGAAAUUUCAGUAAUAUUCAGAGUACAUUGAGUUAGGAUUGCAAAAUUACUGUUUCACGGGUCACAUUGAGUUACAUUUCAGUGAAAUAGUAAUAUCCAGUAUCAUCACCAAAAAUAGAAAAUAAUUCAUACUGCUUUCUAGAGUUAGGAUAAUGAUCUUGUAAAAGAAUAUAAUGUUCUUUAGAUGUAUGUUAUUGACUUAUAUUUUUGAAUUAACAUGGCCGUUCCAUUAAUAAAGUCACAUUUUUGUUAUUGUAGCACAAAACUAGAGAUUGGAUAUUACUGUUUCACAGACAUUAUUGAUGUUCUAUCAAUGUUUACCUUUGCAAAUGUCAAAAAGAAAACCAAUGAGCGCAUGAGAGUGUUGUAUCGCACUGGUGUUAUGUUUAGUGAAACAAUGCGCCUUGGUGAUGCACAGCAACUUGUUAUGAGAAUGCUGCAUCUACGUGCACGCACGCACGUUACUAGUCUUCAGGACUCAGAAAUACAUUCUUGGGGAGUAUAUUGUCUCUAUGGGAUACGCCAUAUGUGUGGAGAACCUAUGUUGUACGCUAUAGAUGAGGCUGUUGUCCCAGGGCUCUAUAAUGCUAAGAAAGGAAAACAUGAAAUUUGGGGAAUAAUUGGCUGACGAAGAUGUUCUGAAGAUGAUGACUUUCAGAUGAAAAGGAGGGUGGCAGUGAUUUUGGUUUUCCUUUUCGGUGAAGAUUAUGUGCCACACUACCUGAUGUUGAAACAAAAGGUAUUGGUGUGUCUUGUCAAUCAAGAGUAAUUUGUGUGCCGCUUUUGUUUUCCAGGGAUAUGUAGCGCCAGAAGAGAUGAGAAAGCCUAUCUUCAAAACUAGGAAGGUCAGGAGGGCAGCCACACCAAGUGCUGUAGGAAGGUGCCUACUCAGUUUCAGCGAACCAACUCUUUUUUGGUAGAAUAAUGUCCCUUCAUGUUUUGUUUACCUUUUGGUUUUAAUUGUGCUGUCUUUUUUCUUUCUUUCUUUUGCGGGAUACAAAGAUGGAGACUACAAUGCUCAGAUCGGACCUCAACACCCUCCGUGGUCAGUCAUGGUUGAAUGAUGUUGUUAUUACAUUUCUAUUUGAUAUCUUCCAAUCGAACGAGUACAGAUACGAAAAUACCAGAGCCUGCACAAGGGUCCAAGGGCAUCAAAUAUGUACAAAAUGGCACAUCUCAAGUAAAGAAUGAAUUGUAAUGACAUAUUUUCAAAUAGACGAAUUGUAACGGUAGUUCUCCAAACUUGGAUAGUUGCAAUAGCAUAUAUCCAAUUAACCCAAGAUCAAAUCCUGAAAUCCCUAAUCAAUUCUACAUGUCAAGUAAAGAAAUUGUACUAGAGAAUUGGGGCUUUGGGGUAUUGUAACCACGUUGGUCUUGGGAUUGGCCUAGGCCGCAGAGGCGGAGGAGCUGCCGGUUCCCAAGGUGUCGCUGUGCCGCUGACGCAAGGCGAGAAGACCUGCACCUUGUGGGCCGUUGCUAUAUGGGCUAGCUGCUAGGCUGCCGGUGUCACGAUGGCUUUUUACUAGUGUCAAGGCACGUAAACAACACAAGGGUACAAGAGCUUCGGGCAAAAUCGUCGAUGUCAGCUGACAAAACGAUUGCACGUAGCUCCACCCCUGCUGGCCUUGAGCAUCUGCAUGAUGCCAUCCACCAUAUGCCGCUUUGAUCCCAUCUCUUCAAUUCUUCAUUGUGCCAAAGCAAUAGGAGAGCUUUUUGUUACUUGUUUCAGUCUAGUAGUCUACUGGACGGUGUAUUUUUAUAAGCUGCUGCAAUGUAAAUUGUAUUCGGUUGCAAUCGAUCACAGACAGUUCACAAAUAUGUUCAACUAAUGUUCUUUAUCUUAGGCGCUGGCUCUCUGAUAAAGGGUUUGUUUGCAUAACAUCUAAAAUCUUGCGAGAAUGGAACUAAAUGGUCUUAUUAUUCAUUGCAUGUCAAGAGGAUACCAGACACUUUUAUGUUAUCUGAAUGUUAUUUGUAUUAAUUUGUUGGCCCGUUGAAAUAGUACACGCUGAUAUUUUCAUCACUGGAUGCUUACGCCCAAGCGAACUUCACAGAAAUGGGAAGGAUGAGAAGUCGAGGGAGACGAACCCACAGAAUUUGAAAGCAUGAGUCUGAUCUGGCACAAAACGAGCCAUCGUAUAUACGAGGUUUGGUUCUCAAAACUCAAAAGCUCACACAGGAUUUCAGAAGCUUAUGAUGAAAAUAAAAGGAUGUUGUACUAGAGCUCACAUGGCAAUACAUUGUGUCAGAUGAUGCUCUACGAGAGAUCACGUCUCAUGUUUGCGUUAGCAGUCAGCAAAAUUGAUGGGUUACUGAUAACGCUACGCCUGCUAAAUUCAGCUAAAUCAUCUGAGAUGCUGCAUCAGACGUUCAGAACCAACCAAAUAAGCAAAGAAAGUCAAGCUUCAGACCGUACAUUGCAUAAUGUACAUGUACACAUCGAUCUUAGUUCUUUACAUACAAAGCACAACCCUACAUGCUCAGUCAAAGGGUGAACACAUCAGUACAUCGCACGCUUAAUUUCCAGAUUACACUACAGACUGUACAUGCCACACGCACGAUCAGGAUAAGCAAGUUCCAAACUGAAACGUUAGGUUAUCCUACAAAGGCAGCGGUUCCUCCAGGCCCUGGAGGAAGAGGAACCAACCCCGGCCCAGAGCAGUUACUUCUCGCCAAGCCGCGUCACAGCAUCAGGCCGAGCCGCUCGCUGGCUACGUCGCACUUGACGGGCGCGAGCCCGACGCGGCCGCGCUCCAGGUCGUACUCCACCC